UACGGAGGGGGCUAGCGUUGUUCGGAAUUACUGGGCGUAAAGCGCGCGUAGGCGGCUUUGUAAGUUAGAGGUGAAAGCCCGGAGCUCAACUCCGGAAUUGCCUUUAAGACUGCAUCGCUUGAAUCAUGGAGAGGUCAGUGGAAUUCCGAGUGUAGAGGUGAAAUUCGUAGAUAUUCGGAAGAACACCAGUGGCGAAGGCGGCUGACUGGACAUGUAUUGACGCUGAGGUGCGAAAGCGUGGGGAGCAAACAGG
RNAcentral lists this ribosomal RNA (253 nucleotides) under uncultured bacterium. RNAcentral describes it as "partial 16S ribosomal RNA". It matches the Rfam family "Bacterial small subunit ribosomal RNA", at positions 524 to 776 of the family's 1533-position model. The record is from RNAcentral.